This 76-nucleotide transfer RNA is filed under the name compost metagenome. RNAcentral describes it as "tRNA-Met". It matches the Rfam family "tRNA". Rfam says of the family: Transfer RNA (tRNA) molecules are approximately 80 nucleotides in length. Their secondary structure includes four short double-helical elements and three loops (D, anti-codon, and T loops). The record is from RNAcentral.
GGCGGGGUAGAUCAGUUGGUAGAUCAGCGGACUCAUAUUCCGCGCGUCGGUGGUUCGAGUCCACUCCCCGCUACCA